Long non-coding RNA from Pseudopipra pipra, 468 nucleotides. RefSeq lists it as uncharacterized. The transcript has 3 exons. The record is from RefSeq and is a predicted model, not a curated record. NCBI's taxonomy places the organism in Eukaryota, Metazoa, Chordata, Aves, Passeriformes, Pipridae.
GGCUGCGGCGGUAUUCCCUAAAGGCGCUGCGCGCGCAGAGCGCCGCGUUGGCUGCCGGGAAGCGAUGAUGGCGGCGGGGCCUGCAUUGUGCUGUUCCUGUCCUUGAGCCCAGGCCCUGAGGUGAGCCUGAGAAAUGGCCCAGAGGUGAGCCCAGAGCCAUCCCUGAGGUGAGCCUAAAUGCAAGGCAGAGAUGUUGCUGAGGAAGGAGAGCCCAGUGGUGGAGAAGAGACAGAAGCUGUGAUUGCCCAUCCCCGAGCAGGUGCUGUCUCCAUCCCCUGUGUGCCAGGUUUCUAUGGACACAGGAUGCCCGGUGAGUUCUAGAGAUGGACUUGGGCAGGAGGAAUCCCCAAGCCAACGUGCUCAGCACUUGAUUUCCCCCCCAUCAGGAUUUGUCCUUCCCAAAGCUUGGGCGGAUGGAGGAGGAGGCUGCGAGGAAGAGGAAGAUGCCUUGGGCCCCCCAGGCAGGUG